This 1376-nucleotide ribosomal RNA is filed under the name Antarctomyces psychrotrophicus. RNAcentral describes it as "SSU rRNA". It matches the Rfam family "Bacterial small subunit ribosomal RNA". Lineage: Eukaryota; Fungi; Ascomycota; Leotiomycetes; Thelebolales; Thelebolaceae. RNAcentral also lists the same sequence under 1 other name. The record is from RNAcentral.
UUUGAGUUUGAUGAUGGCUCUGAAUGAACGCUGUCCAAAUGCUUGACACAUGCUAAUCGAACGUCUAAUAUAAUAAAUAAUUUUUUAGCUAUUUUUUAGCUUAUUAAAAAAUUUACUUAAUUAGAAGUGGUGUACAGGUGAGUAUAUGAUAUUUUGGCUACCCUAAAGCAAGGGAAAUAAAUACCUUAUAUGAAUUACUUCUAAAGGAAAUAUUUUUAAAAUUUUCCGCUUUAUGAUGACAAUAAAUAUCUCGGAUAGGUAGUAGUUAAGGUAAUAACUUAACUAGCCUAAGAUUCCGUAGUCGAGGCUGAAAGGUUGAUCGAUCACAUUGGGUCUGAAAAAACCCCAAUACGUAUUGUACAGCAGUGAGGAAUAUUGGUCAAUAGCCUAACGGCUGAACCAGCAACUUGGAGGAAUGAAAAGCUACGGCUUGUUAACCCAAUAUUAAAAGGUUAAUAUCGACUAUGUCGAAUAAAGUUCUAGAUAGAAUACUGAUUAUGACAAUUUUCUAUCUAUUUGUCUUGACCCAAUUACGUGCCAGCAGUCGCGGUAAUACGUAGAAGACUAGUGUUAUUCAUCUUUAAUAGGUUUAAAGGGUACCUAGACGGUAUUAUUAGCCCAGAAAAGGGUACGAUUUUACUAGAGUUUUAUAUGAGAAGGUAGUAUUUAUGGAGGAGAGAUUAAAUACGAUGAUACCCUAAGGACUGGUAACGGCGAAAGCAACCUUCUAUCUAAUAACUGACGUUGAGGGACGAAGGCCUGGGUAGCAAAGAGGAUUAGAUACCCUAGUAGUCCAGGCAGAGAAUUAUGAAUGCUAUAGAUUAGAUUAUAUUUAGACUAUAAAUGAAAGUGUAAGCAUUCCACCUUAAGAGUAAUGUGGCAACGCAGGAACUGAAAUCAUUAGGCCGUUUCUGAAACCAGUAGUGAAGUAUGUUAUUUAAUUCGAUAGCCCUCGAAAAACCUUACCACAAUUUGCAUAUUAUGUACAUAUUAAUGAGUACAUAUUUACAAGCGUUGCACGGCUGUCUUCAGUUAAUGUCGUGAGAUUUUGGUUAGUUCCAUAAAAUUAACGUAAACCCUUGCUUUAUUUUUAAAUUAUUUUUUAUAAAGUAGUUCGCCAUUAUAUUGGUUUGAUAUAUGGGACCAAGACAAGUCAUCAUGGCCUUUAUAUUGUGGGCUAUAGACGUGCCACAUAAUCCUAUACAAAGAGAUGCGAAAGUGUGAACUCGAGCUAAUCUCAAAAGUAGGUUAUAAUAUGGAUUGUAGUCUGUAACUCGACUACAUGAAUAAGGAAUUACUAGUAAUCGUGAAUCACCACGUCACGGUGGAUUAUAUCUCAGAUAGGUACUAACUACUCGUCGCGCGCCGAAAGAAGU